RNAcentral lists this transfer RNA (66 nucleotides) under Grimothea gregaria. RNAcentral's name for it is "Munida gregaria tRNA-Met". The record is from RNAcentral. Lineage: Eukaryota; Metazoa; Arthropoda; Malacostraca; Decapoda; Munididae.
AAAAAGAUAAGCUAAAGUUAAGCUAGUGGGUUCAUACCCCAUUUAUGAGAAAAUUCUCUCUUUUUA